UAGCAACAGGACAAAACUGCUUGCCAAGACUUAUCGUAUUUUAUCUAGAUGAACGAUUUCUAGGAAUAAAAAGAUGAAUAAGAAUAAAAAUGAUGCAAAAAGUUCCAAAGGGGUCGAGUAUCCAUUAACGGAUGAAAUAGAAAAAUGUCUACAAAAAGUAAAGACGCAAACAAAUGCCGCAAGUGAACAAGCAGAACGCGUCCAACAAAAAGGUGAAGAGCUAUUCCUGAAAAAUCAACAAAUAUCAGAGACACCGACCUGCAAUAAAGGUACAAAUAGUUGUAACCAUUGUUGUUGUCGGCAUCACAAGUGCUGUGUCGUUUCGUAACUAGACAGUGAAGAAUAUCAUCACUAAUAUCUAAAAUGACAUCAAAGCAUGUAAAUGUAACUCGAGUACAUUUUGGAACGAAAAAUUCCUUUAUUUGGAUUUUCAGACUUUUUCAGUGUUGUACAUAAAGUAGUAGGUUAUUAUUCCUGAGCACUUUCCGUAAAAAAAAUCUUAACUGUGUAUAUGGAAUGUCUCUUUGUUAUGUAUAUAGCAUUGCUUGUUUUGAAAUGAAUAAAUAAGUACUCAACUUUGAUUUACUUAUCAUUAAUUCAUUGUUCUAGUCCAAGUAUAUGGUCUAUAUGCAAUGAUUGGUAUCUUUACCAGCAUCUUCAACCCUAAACAAAGUCUACGUUUUGACAUUUUAACUUGUAUUUACC
Long non-coding RNA from Magallana angulata, 705 nucleotides. RefSeq lists it as uncharacterized. Lineage: Eukaryota; Metazoa; Mollusca; Bivalvia; Ostreida; Ostreidae. The transcript is spliced from 3 exons. The record is from RefSeq and is a predicted model, not a curated record.